UGCCGCGUGUGUGAAGAAGGCCUUCGGGUUGUAAAGCACUUUCAGUUGUGAGGAAAAGUUAGUAGUUAAUACCUGCUAGCCGUGACGUUAACAACAGAAGAAGCACCGGCUAACUCCGUGCCAGCAGCCGCGGUAAUACGGAGGGUGCGAGCGUUAAUCGGAAUUACUGGGCGUAAAGCGCACGCAGGCGGUUUGUUAAGCUAGAUGUGAAAGCCCCGGGCUCAACCUGGGAUGGUCAUUUAGAACUGGCAGACUAGAGUCUUGGAGAGGGGAGUGGAAUUCCAGGUGUAGCGGUGAAAUGCGUAGAUAUCUGGAGGAACAUCAGUGGCGAAGGCGACUCCCUGGCCAAAGACUGACGCUCAUGUGCGAAAGUGUGGGUAGCGAACAGGAUUAGAUACCCUGGUAGUCCACACCGUAAACGCUGUCUACUAGCUGUGUGUGCCUUUAAGGCGUGCGUAGCGAAGCUAACGCGCUAAGUAGACCGCCUGGGGAGUACGGCCGCAAGGUUAAAACUCAAAUGAAUUGACGGGGGCCCGCACAAGCGGUGGAGCAUGUGGUUUAAUUCGAUGCAACGCGAAGAACCUUACCUACACUUGACAUGCUGAGAAGUUACUAGAGAUAGUUUCGUGCCUUCGGGAACUCAGACACAGGUGCUGCAUGGCUGUCGUCAGCUCGUGUCGUGAGAUGUUGGGUUAAGUCCCGCAACGAGCGCAACCCUUGUCCUUAGUUGCCAGCCUUAAGUUGGGCACUCUAAGGAGACUGCCGGUGACAAACCGGAGG
RNAcentral lists this ribosomal RNA (780 nucleotides) under Alteromonas sp. R94. RNAcentral's name for it is "bacterial SSU rRNA". It matches the Rfam family "Bacterial small subunit ribosomal RNA", at positions 395 to 1169 of the family's 1533-position model. Lineage: Bacteria; Pseudomonadati; Pseudomonadota; Gammaproteobacteria; Alteromonadales; Alteromonadaceae. The record is from RNAcentral.